Molecule: ribosomal RNA, 429 nt
Filed under: Fusobacteriota bacterium
Lineage: Bacteria; Fusobacteriati; Fusobacteriota
Description: Fusobacteria bacterium partial 16S ribosomal RNA
Rfam family: Bacterial small subunit ribosomal RNA
Source: RNAcentral
UGGGGAAUAUUGCGCAAUGGGCGAAAGCCUGACGCAGCGACGCCGCGUGAGGGAUGAAGGUUUUCGGAUCGUAAACCUCUGUCAGAAGGGAAGAAACCGCACUGUGCUAAUCAGCAGUGCCUUGACGGUACCUUCAAAGGAAGCACCGGCUAACUCCGUGCCAGCAGCCGCGGUAAUACGGAGGGUGCAAGCGUUAAUCGGAAUUACUGGGCGUAAAGCGCACGUAGGCUGCUUUGUAAGUCAGGGGUGAAAUCCCACGGCUCAACCGUGGAACUGACUUUGAUACUGCUUAGCUUGAAUCCGGGAGAGGGUGGCGGAAUUCCAGGUGUAGGCGUGAAAUCCGUAGAUAUCUGGAGGAACAUCAGUGGCGAAGGCGGCCACCUGGACCGGUAUUGACGCUGAGGUGCGAAAGCGUGGGGAGCAAACAGG